Non-coding RNA from Pseudomonas cichorii JBC1, 59 nucleotides. Lineage: Bacteria; Pseudomonadati; Pseudomonadota; Gammaproteobacteria; Pseudomonadales; Pseudomonadaceae. The record is from Rfam.
GGUAGCCGGGCGUUGCAGCAGUCGAUCAUCGUAUGCUGCUGCAGCCCACCCCGGCUGCU